This 2198-nucleotide ribosomal RNA is filed under the name Escherichia coli. RNAcentral describes it as "partial 23S ribosomal RNA". It matches the Rfam family "Bacterial large subunit ribosomal RNA", at positions 614 to 2798 of the family's 2925-position model. Lineage: Bacteria; Pseudomonadati; Pseudomonadota; Gammaproteobacteria; Enterobacterales; Enterobacteriaceae. The record is from RNAcentral.
AAUGGGUCAGCGACUUAUAUUCUGUAGCAAGGUUAACCGAAUAGGGGAGCCGAAGGGAAACCGAGUCUUAACUGGGCGUUAAGUUGCAGGGUAUAGACCCGAAACCCGGUGAUCUAGCCAUGGGCAGGUUGAAGGUUGGGUAACACUAACUGGAGGACCGAACCGACUAAUGUUGAAAAAUUAGCGGAUGACUUGUGGCUGGGGGUGAAAGGCCAAUCAAACCGGGAGAUAGCUGGUUCUCCCCGAAAGCUAUUUAGGUAGCGCCUCGUGAAUUCAUCUCCGGGGGUAGAGCACUGUUUCGGCAAGGGGGUCAUCCCGACUUACCAACCCGAUGCAAACUGCGAAUACCGGAGAAUGUUAUCACGGGAGACACACGGCGGGUGCUAACGUCCGUCGUGAAGAGGGAAACAACCCAGACCGCCAGCUAAGGUCCCAAAGUCAUGGUUAAGUGGGAAACGAUGUGGGAAGGCCCAGACAGCCAGGAUGUUGGCUUAGAAGCAGCCAUCAUUUAAAGAAAGCGUAAUAGCUCACUGGUCGAGUCGGCCUGCGCGGAAGAUGUAACGGGGCUAAACCAUGCACCGAAGCUGCGGCAGCGACACUGUGUGUUGUUGGGUAGGGGAGCGUUCUGUAAGCCUGUGAAGGUGUACUGUGAGGUAUGCUGGAGGUAUCAGAAGUGCGAAUGCUGACAUAAGUAACGAUAAAGCGGGUGAAAAGCCCGCUCGCCGGAAGACCAAGGGUUCCUGUCCAACGUUAAUCGGGGCAGGGUGAGUCGACCCCUAAGGCGAGGCCGAAAGGCGUAGUCGAUGGGAAACAGGUUAAUAUUCCUGUACUUGGUGUUACUGCGAAGGGGGGACGGAGAAGGCUAUGUUGGCCGGGCGACGGUUGUCCCGGUUUAAGCGUGUAGGCUGGUUUUCCAGGCAAAUCCGGAAAAUCAAGGCUGAGGCGUGAUGACGAGGCACUACGGUGCUGAAGCAACAAAUGCCCUGCUUCCAGGAAAAGCCUCUAAGCAUCAGGUAACAUCAAAUCGUACCCCAAACCGACACAGGUGGUCAGGUAGAGAAUACCAAGGCGCUUGAGAGAACUCGGGUGAAGGAACUAGGCAAAAUGGUGCCGUAACUUCGGGAGAAGGCACGCUGAUAUGUAGGUGAAGCGACUUGCUCGUGGAGCUGAAAUCAGUCGAAGAUACCAGCUGGCUGCAACUGUUUAUUAAAAACACAGCACUGUGCAAACACGAAAGUGGACGUAUACGGUGUGACGCCUGCCCGGUGCCGGAAGGUUAAUUGAUGGGGUUAGCGCAAGCGAAGCUCUUGAUCGAAGCCCCGGUAAACGGCGGCCGUAACUAUAACGGUCCUAAGGUAGCGAAAUUCCUUGUCGGGUAAGUUCCGACCUGCACGAAUGGCGUAAUGAUGGCCAGGCUGUCUCCACCCGAGACUCAGUGAAAUUGAACUCGCUGUGAAGAUGCAGUGUACCCGCGGCAAGACGGAAAGACCCCGUGAACCUUUACUAUAGCUUGACACUGAACAUUGAGCCUUGAUGUGUAGGAUAGGUGGGAGGCUUUGAAGUGUGGACGCCAGUCUGCAUGGAGCCGACCUUGAAAUACCACCCUUUAAUGUUUGAUGUUCUAACGUGGACCCGUGAUCCGGGUUGCGGACAGUGUCUGGUGGGUAGUUUGACUGGGGCGGUCUCCUCCUAAAGAGUAACGGAGGAGCACGAAGGUUGGCUAAUCCUGGUCGGACAUCAGGAGGUUAGUGCAAUGGCAUAAGCCAGCUUGACUGCGAGCGUGACGGCGCGAGCAGGUGCGAAAGCAGGUCAUAGUGAUCCGGUGGUUCUGAAUGGAAGGGCCAUCGCUCAACGGAUAAAAGGUACUCCGGGGAUAACAGGCUGAUACCGCCCAAGAGUUCAUAUCGACGGCGGUGUUUGGCACCUCGAUGUCGGCUCAUCACAUCCUGGGGCUGAAGUAGGUCCCAAGGGUAUGGCUGUUCGCCAUUUAAAGUGGUACGCGAGCUGGGUUUAGAACGUCGUGAGACAGUUCGGUCCCUAUCUGCCGUGGGCGCUGGAGAACUGAGGGGGGCUGCUCCUAGUACGAGAGGACCGGAGUGGACGCAUCACUGGUGUUCGGGUUGUCAUGCCAAUGGCACUGCCCGGUAGCUAAAUGCGGAAGAGAUAAGUGCUGAAAGCAUCUAAGCACGAAACUUGCC